GUCCUUGUAGCUUAACUGGAUAGAGCAGUGGCUUCCGGAGCCAAAGAUUGAGGGUUCGACCCCCUCCAAGGGCG
RNAcentral lists this transfer RNA (74 nucleotides) under Candidatus Blackburnbacteria bacterium RIFCSPHIGHO2_01_FULL_40_17. RNAcentral describes it as "tRNA-Arg". It matches the Rfam family "tRNA". From Rfam's summary of the family: Transfer RNA (tRNA) molecules are approximately 80 nucleotides in length. Their secondary structure includes four short double-helical elements and three loops (D, anti-codon, and T loops). Further hydrogen bonds mediate the characteristic L-shaped molecular structure. tRNAs have two regions of fundamental functional importance: the anti-codon, which is responsible for specific mRNA codon recognition, and the 3' end, to which the tRNAs corresponding amino acid is attached (by aminoacyl-tRNA synthetases). tRNAs cope with the degeneracy of the genetic code in two manners: having more than one tRNA (with a specific anti-codon) for a particular amino acid; and 'wobble' base-pairing, i.e. permitting non-standard base-pairing at the 3rd anti-codon position. Lineage: Bacteria; Candidatus Blackburniibacteriota. RNAcentral also lists the same sequence under 1 other name. The record is from RNAcentral.